AGAUGUUUGUCACGGGCACRUGCUGGGCAUAGUACCCUGGAAGCCUUUGCUGUUAGUCACCAUAGAAGGGGCAAAGUGGCAGCUGCUCCAGCUCUGGGAGUCUGGAACAAAACAGGUGGAAGUAGCCAGGGUGUGGACAUUUCUCCAGAGGACACCCUCAGACAGUCAAGGCAAGAAGACAGGUGGGCAUCAGGCCUCAUCCUAGCAGUCAGGGGUGUUGCUCAGUUUCCUGUGGGUGGUGGUGGUGGGGCUGCCUGGGCUCUGCGUUCUCACGGCUCUGCAGGUCCCCAGCCAGGGCUGUUUCCUUUGCUGGCAGAAGAGCUGAACCCUGAGAGACUGCACACGGGCCUUGUGCUCUUCAGAAGCAUGAAGUCAGCCCUGRGGAAUGAGGCAGCUUGGCUGGUGUCCAGCAGCUCUAGAGGUGCUGUUUGUCGGGCUCUGGGUUCCUGUUGGCCUGCUUGCCAAGCUUUUGCCAGGGGCCAGAAGUGCUUUAGCUGCCCCAGCUGUGGGGUUGCAGGGGUGAGGAGGGGCUGGCAUGGGGAGCAUCUUGCCUGCAGAGUGUUGACUCUGUCCACGUCAUGCCUCUGGAAGCAUCCCUUGCUGAAAUGGGGAGCUUGCUGGGCCAGGUUGCAAAGACACAGGUGGCCUUGGAUGAGGAACCUAACUCCUCUGGGCCACAGCUCUUUCCUCUGAAAAGUGAAGGGAACUCCCCAUGUAAUAAGUGGCAGCCRCUUGCAGGUUUAGGACAAGCAGAAAACAUCUCAUUUCCCCUGGUCACAGUGRGGGUAAGAAGAGGGCUGCUGACCCAGUCCUGGGGUGAAUUGGUGACUGUUUGCACAAGAUAACUCAGUACACUUCCUUGUUUGAGCCACUUGGAGCUGGGUAUUCUUGUAGCUGACUCGGUUGACAAAAUUGCCUGUGUGUAGACAAGGUCUCAAAGGGAUGGGGGGAUUGAGGGCAGGUGCUUUAGGGUAUGGCUUUCCCCUGCCUGUGGGCUAAAGGUUCCCAGCUGAUGGGAGCAGCAGAGACUCCUGCUGCUAAGAAGUAGCAGGGCUGAGACUUGCACCUUUGUUGUUCUCACUCCAAGCUGGGUGUGAGCCUCUUCAGAUGCACCUGGUAGUUCUUGGGGUAGCUGAGUUUCUGCUAGGGGGGUUGGAAAGGCCAGMAGUGGGAAGGGACAGAGCAAGUACCACUUGGG
This 1198-nucleotide long non-coding RNA is filed under the name Urocitellus parryii (Arctic ground squirrel). RNAcentral describes it as "lncRNA (ENSUPAG00010006880.1)". The record is from RNAcentral. Lineage: Eukaryota; Metazoa; Chordata; Mammalia; Rodentia; Sciuridae.